RNAcentral lists this ribosomal RNA (396 nucleotides) under Triticum aestivum (bread wheat). Its description in RNAcentral is "partial small subunit ribosomal RNA". The record is from RNAcentral. Lineage: Eukaryota; Viridiplantae; Streptophyta; Magnoliopsida; Poales; Poaceae.
AUGCGUGAUCACUUCGUUGCCAACUUCCAGGCCACUCGCGAUUGCCCCCCGGCCGAGGGUGACCUGCGCCGCAUCAAGCAACAGCCGGGAGAGACCCUGCAGAAGUACAUACAACGCUUCAACAACGUGCGUCUCAAGAUCCCCAGGGUGACGGACGAGGCCAUCGUCUCAGCGUUUUCUGAUGGUAUCUGCGACAUCAAGAUGAAGGAGGAGCUCGCCAUCCAUGAGGAGUUGUGCAUGACUUUGAAACUGUUCAACAUAGCAACCAAUUGUGCAAGAGCAGAGGAGGGGCUAUUGGGGAUCGUAGCAGAAAUUCAAAAUUUUCCUACGUGUCACCAAGAUCAAUCUAUGGAGAGACUAGCAACGAGAGAGAGGAGUGCAUCUUCAUACCCUUGA